Non-coding RNA from Python bivittatus (Burmese python), 217 nucleotides. NCBI's taxonomy places the organism in Eukaryota, Metazoa, Chordata, Lepidosauria, Squamata, Pythonidae. The record is from RefSeq and is a predicted model, not a curated record.
AAAGGCAAAAGUUGAUGCUUUUCUUCAUAUCUUAAUAGUAACCGUUCUGAAAUGAAGAUUGCUUAUGAUACACUGCAUCAAGAUCAGAGCAUUCUUCAUAGAACGAUGACCUGAUCACGCAAUGAUGUAUCCAAACCUUAUGAGGUCAGUCAUCAAUCUAAGAAGAAAUUAAGAUGGGACAUAUAAGCUCUUGAACAAAUCAACCCAGAGUUCUCAC